AAUAUGAGCUACAGCUUAUAGGAUGUGCAACUUUUGGAUGUGUUAUUGGCAUGUUUUAAAUGUCGUGAUCUCUGAUUGUGGCGCACUUGGAGAUAUGUUGGGUAUCAUUUAAUGGAUAGGAUGAACCAUAGAUGGAAUAAGAGUCUGAAUGCCGAGAAAUGAAAAUUAUAUUUCUAUGUUGACGAUGAUGAAGCAGCUGUGCUUCAUGUCAUCGGUCAUGUCCAACCAUUGGUUGCUCCCAUGACGACAGGCUGGUUUUUAUUGCCAGCAAUAGCUGGUCGGGCUUUACCUUUUGAAUGGGUAUAUGGUCAAUUCAUGAGAAGAAUUGGUCAAUAUUGCUGGUACUUUACUGAAAUGGAGAGUCAAGUAGCGAGCUUGCUUGGCUCAAUGCAAUUAUGCAAUGCAGGCUAUGCAAAUAAUACUGCUUUUUUCUUCGGUGAAGCACCAAAUGAACUUAAAGAAAAGGAAAAAUAGGGAGGUUUAAAAUAAGGGUUUUUUAUGUACAUGUCCUUCUAAAUAUUGAAAUUUGCAUGAAUACCCUUCCAAAAUUGAUAUUUGCAUGUAAAUCCUUAUAAAAUACUUGUUUUGCAUAUAUACCCUCCAUUUUUCUUUUUUCUUGCAUAUAUGCCGAUCCCAUCUAACGCCGUUAAGAAAUUAGUGGUUUAAAAUUAAAAAUGACUGAAAUAUCCUUAAUAGGUAGAUAUACAAAACGAUAUAUUUGAUAAGGGUAUAUAUGUAAAUAAUACUUUGUGAGGGUAUUCAUGCAAUUUCACAUAUUUAUGAGAGUUUACAUGCAAAAAAUCUAAUUUUAUUUUUUCUAUUUCAACCUGCU
Molecule: long non-coding RNA, 832 nt
Filed under: Phoenix dactylifera (date palm)
Lineage: Eukaryota; Viridiplantae; Streptophyta; Magnoliopsida; Arecales; Arecaceae
Description: long non-coding RNA (PDAC_LNC009255)
Source: RNAcentral